GGAGGAUUCGCCUAGAGGCCUAGGGCGCACGCUUGGAAAGCGUGUUGGGGGCAACCCCUCACGAGUUCGAAUCUCGUCAACCCCUCACGAGUUCGAAUCUCGUAUCCUCCG
This is a non-coding RNA of Streptomyces sp. AS58, 111 nucleotides long. The record is from Rfam. NCBI's taxonomy places the organism in Bacteria, Bacillati, Actinomycetota, Actinomycetes, Kitasatosporales, Streptomycetaceae.